RNAcentral lists this ribosomal RNA (658 nucleotides) under uncultured bacterium. RNAcentral describes it as "bacterial SSU rRNA". It matches the Rfam family "Bacterial small subunit ribosomal RNA", at positions 76 to 779 of the family's 1533-position model. The record is from RNAcentral.
UUCGCUGGAAGGUGCUGAUAGUGGCGGACGGGUGAGUAACGCGUGAGGACAUGUCUGAGGAGGGGGAUAACGUUUGGAAACGGACGCUAAGACCCCGUAAGCCGGGAGGUGAAAAUGGCGAAAGCCAGCCUGUGGAGUGACUCGCGUCCUAUCAGCUAGUUGGCGGGGUGAAGGCCCACCAAGGCGAUGACGGGUAGCCGACCUGAGAGGGUGGCCGGCCACACUGGAACUGAGAUACGGUCCAGACUCCUACGGGAGGCAGCAGUGGGGAAUAUUGGGCAAUGGGCGGAAGCCUGACCCAGCGACGCCGCGUGGGGGAAGAAGUCUUUCGGGAUGUAAACCCUUGUUGUACGGGACGAAGGAAGUGACGGUACCGUACGAGGAAGCCCCGGCAAACUACGUGCCAGCAGCCGCGGUAAUACGUAGGGGGGCGAGCGUUGUCCGGAAUCACUGGGCGUAAGCGCCGUAGGCGGGCUGUCAAGUCGGCCGUGAAAGGAUGGGCUCACCUGUGCAUGUCGGUCCAUACUGGCGGUCUGGAGUAGGGAGAAGGACUGGAAUUCCCGGGUACCGGGGAAUGCGUAAUUUCGGGGGAACCCCGGGGGAAGGCGGGUCCUGGCCCUUAAUGACCCUGAGGGCAAAACCCGGGAACAACGGGAUU